Molecule: ribosomal RNA, 253 nt
Filed under: uncultured bacterium
Lineage: Bacteria
Description: partial 16S ribosomal RNA
Rfam family: Bacterial small subunit ribosomal RNA
Source: RNAcentral
UACGAAGGGGGCUAGCGUUGCUCGGAAUCACUGGGCGUAAAGCGCACGUAGGCGGAUUGCUAAGUCAGGGGUGAAAUCCUGGAGCUCAACUCCAGAACUGCCUUUGAUACUGGCGAUCUUGAGUCCGGGAGAGGUGAGUGGAACUGCGAGUGUAGAGGUGAAAUUCGUAGAUAUUCGCAAGAACACCAGUGGCGAAGGCGGUUGCCUGGAGCUUUGCUGACGCUGAUGCGCGAAAGCGUGGGGAGCGAUCCGG